UACGAAGGGUGCAAACGUUGCUCGGAAUUAUUGGGCGUAAAGCGCACGUAGGCGGCUUUGCAAGUCGGAUGUGAAAUCCCUCGGCUCAACCAAGGAAGUGCAUCCGAAACUGCAGAGCUUGAGUACUUAAGAGGAUCGCGGAAUUCCCGGUGUAGAGGUGAAAUUCGUAGAUAUCGGGAGGAACACCAGUGGCGAAGGCGGCGAUCUGGGAAGAUACGUGACGCUGAGGUGCGAAAGCGUGGGAGCAACAGG
RNAcentral lists this ribosomal RNA (252 nucleotides) under uncultured bacterium. RNAcentral describes it as "partial 16S ribosomal RNA". It matches the Rfam family "Bacterial small subunit ribosomal RNA", at positions 524 to 776 of the family's 1533-position model. The record is from RNAcentral.